GUUUCAGCAGCCGCGGUAAUACGUAGGGGGCAAGCGUUGUCCGGAUUUAUUGGGCGUAAAGAGCGUGUAGGCGGUUCGGUAGGUCCGUUGUGAAAACUCGAGGCUCAACCUCGAGACGCCGAUGGAAACCAUCGAACUAGAGUCCGGAAGAGGAGAGUGGAAUUCCUGGUGUAGCGGUGAAAUGCGCAGAUAUCAGGAAGAACACCCGUGGCUAAGGCGGCUCUCUAGUACGGUACUGACGCUGAGACGCGAAAGCGUGGGGAGCGAACAGGAUUAGAUACCCGAGUAGUCC
This 292-nucleotide ribosomal RNA is filed under the name uncultured bacterium. Its description in RNAcentral is "partial 16S ribosomal RNA". It matches the Rfam family "Bacterial small subunit ribosomal RNA", at positions 505 to 796 of the family's 1533-position model. The record is from RNAcentral.